RNAcentral lists this ribosomal RNA (987 nucleotides) under Plasmodium knowlesi. RNAcentral describes it as "SSU rRNA". It matches the Rfam family "Eukaryotic small subunit ribosomal RNA", at positions 638 to 1428 of the family's 1831-position model. The record is from RNAcentral. Lineage: Eukaryota; Apicomplexa; Aconoidasida; Haemosporida; Plasmodiidae.
ACAUAACUGAUGCCUCCGCGUAUCGACUUUGUGCGCAUUUUAGCUAUUAUGUGUUCUUUUAAUUAAAAUGAUUCUUUUUAAGAUUCAUCUAUUAAAAAUUUGCCUCGGCAUAAUUUUUUUUGAUGAUCUUGUUACUUUGAGUAAAUUAGAGUGUUCAAAGCAAACAGAUAUAGCAUUUGUGCGUUUGAAUACUACAGCAUGGAAUAACAAAAUUGAACAAGUCAGAAUUUUUUUGUUCUUUUUUCUUAUUUUGGCUUAGUUACGAUUAAUAGGAGUAGCUUGGGGGCAUUUGUAUUCAGAUGUCAGAGGUGAAAUUCUUAGAUUUUCUGGAGACAAACAACUGCGAAAGCAUUUGCCUAAAAUACUUCCAUUAAUCAAGAACGAAAGUUAAGGGAGUGAAGACGAUCAGAUACCGUCGUAAUCUUAACCAUAAACUAUGCCGACUAGGCUUUGGAUGAAAGAUUUUAAAAUAAGAGUUUUUCUUUUCUCUCCGGAGAUUAGAACUCUUAGAUUGCUUCCUUCAGUGCCUUAUGAGAAAUCAAAGUCUUUGGGUUCUGGGGCGAGUAUUCGCGCAAGCGAGAAAGUUAAAAGAAUUGACGGAAGGGCACCACCAGGCGUGGAGCUUGCGGCUUAAUUUGACUCAACACGGGAAAACUCACUAGUUUAAGACAAGAGUAGGAUUGACAGAUUAAUAGCUCUUUCUUGAUUUCUUGGAUGGUGAUGCAUGGCCGUUUUUAGUUCGUGAAUAUGAUUUGUCUGGUUAAUUCCGAUAACGAACGAGAUCUUAACCUGCUAAUUAGCGGCAAAUACGAUAUAUUCUUAUGUAGAAUUGAAUAUAGUGGAUUUGUUAGAUUUUGAAGAAAAUAUAGGAAUUACGUUAAAUGUGAUUCCUUUCCCUUUUCUACUUAAUUUACAUUUCCAUCUAUUUCUUUUUUGCGUAUGAAUGUAUUUGCUUGAUUGUAAAGCUUCUUAGAGGAACGAUGUGUG